Molecule: ribosomal RNA, 497 nt
Filed under: uncultured bacterium
Lineage: Bacteria
Description: partial 16S ribosomal RNA
Rfam family: Bacterial small subunit ribosomal RNA
Source: RNAcentral
GAUGAACGCUGGCGGCGUGCCUAAUACAUGCAAGUCGAGCGAACAGAUGAGGAGCUUGCUCCUCUGACGUUAGCGGCGGACGGGUGAGUAACACGUGGAUAACCUACCUAUAAGACUGGGAUAAUUUCGGGAAACCGGAGCUAAUACCGGAUAAUAUAUUGAACCGCAUGGUUCAAUAGUGAAAGACGGCUUUGCUGUCACUUAUAGAUGGAUCCGCGCCGGAUUAGCUGGUUGGUACGGUAACGGGUUACCACGGCUACGAUGCGUAGGCGACCGCAUAGAGUGAUAGGCCGCAUUGGAGCGGGGACAGGGUCCAGGCGCCUACGGGAGGCAGCAGAAGGGAAUCUGCCGCAAUGGGGGGAAGCCUGACGGAGCAACGCCGCGUGAGUGAUGAAGGUCUUCGGAUCGUAAAGCUCUGUUAUUAGGGAAGAACAAAUGUGUAAGUAACUAUGCACGUCUUGACGGUACCUAAUCAGAAAGCAACGGCUAACUACGUG